Molecule: RNA transcript, 7152 nt
Organism: Neofelis nebulosa (Clouded leopard)
Lineage: Eukaryota; Metazoa; Chordata; Mammalia; Carnivora; Felidae
Exons: 10
Source: RefSeq, a predicted model, not a curated record
GUGCUUUCGCUGAAAGGGUUUAUUGCGAUGUUUCUUUGCUUCGACUGGCUUUGGGACAUUCCGUUUCCUAUUGCCCAAUCACUGCGGCAGCAAAGUGGCAGUACAGGAUGUUCUCUAGGGAUGCGAUCUCAGGAAAUAAUUCCGGCCUCGAGAAGUCACCUUAAAAAGUGACUGGGCAGUGCACUGCCAGCUGAAAGGAGAAUCAUGAGAGAUGCAAUUCAAAGUAGGGUUUCGUCCCCAGGCGCACGUGCGAACACCAACAAGGGGCGGGGCUUAGGGAUUUCGCAGCCCGGGGAGGCGGGUUCCGCUGUGUCGGAUCUGGAGUGGAGACCGCUCUCUGCUUGCGCGUGCGCAUUGCGAACCUUCCCCGACGCUGUUUUCUGCUCCAAGAUGGAAUUCCGCUCCGCGCGGCAAGCAAUAAUGCAGCUGCUACGUACGGUGGCUCCGGCAGACCUCCCAGCGCUGCUCGAGUGGAUGAGAACUACCCGAGAUUUUGAUGAGUUCACUCAAGAUAAUAAUGACAUUAUGUUGAAAAACAUAGCAGAAGACCUUCGGAAUUGCUUACCUCUAGAAACCAUGCUUUCCUCAGAACAUCUAGCGCUCCAAAAAAUACAGCAGCAGCCAGAACCCACAGUUCACGUUGAUGCAUUCCUUUAUGAUGAAGACUUUAUUGAUUCAUUAUGUGAGGAAGGAAAAAUGAGCAGAAACUACUGUAUGGUGUGUGGCUCACACCAGACUGCACCUUUAGGAUUUAUUUCUCAUUCCUUCUCCCUCACGGAAUUGAAGUUCAUUUAUCAUCAUGUCCUCCCUGAUCUGUCGGGAAAGGUCUUGGUUGACGUUGGCUCCAGGCUUGGCACAGUCCUUUAUGGGGGUUAUCUUUACAGUUCAGCACGGCAACUAUAUGGAGUAGAAUUGAAUGGAGAUUUUUGCCAGUUGCAGGAAAUGGUUAUUAAAAAAUACCAGUUCACUGACAGAAUAAAGGUGCUUCAUGCAGACAUCUGUACCCAAGGUUCACUUCUGCAAAAUGCUGAUGUUAUUAUAAUGAAUAACGUCUUCGAAUAUUUUCUUGAUGAGGCAGAACAGGCCAGAGCCUGGGAAUAUAUCAGCCAUAAUGUAAGGAAACAAGGAUCCUUAUUAGUAACAGUACCAAGCCUUGAAGAUUCUCUCUCAAGUCUUCAGAGAGAGAAACAGAGCAUUCAAGCAUAAACAAGGGAAGGACAGAGGGAGAGAGGGGGAGAGAAUCCCAAACUGGCUCUAUGCUCAGCACAGAGCCCAACAGUCUGAAGGGGAAUCAUGACCUGAGCUGAAAUCAAGAGUCAGACACUCAACCAACUGAGCCACCCAGCUGCUCCAGAUUAUUUGCUUUUUGGAUGGUGAGUUUGAGAAGUUUUUUAUAGAUUUUGGAUACUGUUUAUCAAAUAUGUCAUUUACAAAUAUCUUCCAUUCCUUAAGCUGCCUUUUAGUCUUGUUGAUUGUUUCCUUCACUGUGCAGAAGCUUUUUAUCUUGAUGAAGUCCCAAUAGUUCAUUUUUGCUUUUGUUUCCCUUGCCUCCAGAGACCUGUCUAGUAAGAAGUUGCUAUGGCCGAGGUCAAAGAGGUUGCUGCCUAUGUUCUCCUCUAGGAUUUUGAUGGUUUCCUGUCUCACAUUUAGGUCUUUCAUCCAUUUUGAAUUUAUUUUUGAGUACAGUGUAACAAAGUGGUUCAGUUUCCUUCUUCUGCAUGUCACUGUCCAGUUUUGUCAACACCAUUUGUUGAAGAGACUGUCUUUUUUCCAUUGGAUAUUCUUUCCUGCUUUGUCAAGGAUUAGCUGACCAUAUCAUUGUGGUGAUUUUUUUCCUCUGGCCCUGGUAGUUUUCUCACAUGCCUGUACCGAUCAGUACUCAACUGAAGACUCAAGAGGUACUCUCCCAAGCUCUUCUUUUGUGCAGCUCUCUCCUCUGGUUUUCAACCUGAAAUUCUGAUGCUUUCACCUCCCAGAUCUUCCAACUCUGUUUCCUCUGCUCAGAGAGGUGACCGAGCUUUGCUUGGGUUCCUCCUCCCUAUGCUGCAGCCUGAAAAAAUCUCCUGCAGCCAGAGCAAUUAUAGGAAUUUCCUUCUCUGAAAAAUCUCUGUCCUGCACUGCCUGCUCUUUGAUCCCUGAAAACUAUGACUUCAUACAUUUUGUCCAGUUUCUAAAUUAUUUUAGGUGAGAGACUAAUUCUGGUCUCUGGUGAUAGCAGAUAUCAUACCAUAUAUUUUUUUUAUUUCCUAUUUUAAGUUUUUUGAAUCAUUUCUCAAGAUGGAGGAAGCUAAUAAAGUGGGAAAGGCAAAAAAGCCUGAAAUGAACAAUUAAGAAACGCAAGAAACAAUCACGAUACUUUGACAAAAUGUAGUACUAGCUAAUAACUAAAUACCCAAAGCCUUUCAGAAAACAUGUCAAAAACCCUUUUAAUCAUUACCAUAUCUCAACUUUACAGCUUCAAGUAUUAAACAGACUCUAGCACUGGCAGCUUUUGGAAAACCCACCCUUCACUGCAGUUUUACCUAGACAGAGACAGUGCAAGCAGGGGAGGGCAGAGAGAGGGAGACACAGAAUCCGAAGCAGGCUCCAGGCUCUGAGCUGUCUGCACAGAACCCGACGCAGGACUCAAACUCAUGAACCGUGAGAUCAUGACCUGAGCUGAAGCCGGAUGCUUAACCUACUGAGCCGCCCAGGUGCCCCUCAGGUCAUGAAUAUUUAAUGAAAAUAACAAAAUUAGUUAUCAUCUUUGAAGGGGAGAAAAUUUCAGGUAAGAAAAGACCUAUUCUGUCCACCUACAGUAGACUGCUUAAUACUGCAAGGAAGGCAUUUAGCAAGAGCACACUGGAGAUAAGUGCCCAGGGCUUUCUCCUCUUUGAUCUACAUAUUGUGCUUCAUGUGCCAAGGGUGUGACACCAUCUUAAACACAAUCUUACCUUUCCCCCCUCAGACACCAAAUUGACAGGGUAGAAUAGAUGGAGCACUAUGGAUGGAGCUAUGGCAUACCAGGGAGAAAAAUCUCUAUUAUGUAAUUUUCUGUAUCUUCAAAACAAAUCAAGCUUCAAACAGGAAAUAUUGUCACCCCUAGAAAAGUUCUACCCAUCAGAAUAUGAGAUACUCAUGUGUUGCUGAUAGUAGUGUCAUAAAAGCCUUAAAAUGUUUAAAGACCUUGACUAAGCAGUUCCAUCUCUGGGAACUUAAGAAAAUAAUCGGAUAUUUAUAGAAUUACUUACAUAUGAUAGUUCAUCACAGUAUUGUUUAUAAUGGUUAAACAUUGGAAACAAACUAAAUGUCUAAUAGAGAUUAAGGACAGAGCAACCAUAUUCUGAAAUGAUAAUCAGGAGUAGAAGAAUAUGUCAGAAUGUGAAUAAAUAUUCACAAUGUAUUGUUAGGUUAAAAAAUGAGGUUACAAAAUAUGGAAAAGUAUUUAAUUGAAAAUCAAAUGUCAGUAAAUGUCACAGAUUUCACAGUAGACAGCAGUAAGCCAGUCAUUCAUUUCAGACAUCACUCUAAAUCAGAAUACUUAUGUAAGGAACAAUCCAAAGUUAAGCUCUUAGAUAAUGUGUAUGCUAUUAUGCUUCAGAAGAUUCAGGGGAUACAUUUUUGGACAGUUAUCAGUAAUUUCAAUAUGUGCCUUUUUUACAUUGACCCUACUUGAGAUUUGUGACUAGCAAAUAUUAAUGUAUUUCUGCUCUUAAAUCACGAAAUUCGUUUAUUCCUUGUGGAUAUGUGAAAUCACGUGGUUGCUUGUUUCUGCUUGAACAAUAUGAAAUGCCUUUCUUCAUUAGGUGGGAUUCAUGCAUAUCUAAUUUUCCAUGGAAGAUUAAUGACAGCAUAAUAUACAAUAUAUGACUAAAACCUAAAUGGAUAUGCUGUUCAUGGUUGACUUGUAACAUUGAUAUCAUUACCUUGAAAUUGGUGUUUAGGGCCUCAUUCUUCUGCAUUUUGUAUGACUAAGGAAUAUUUUGAAUUUUAUAAAUAAAAUGUUAUACCAAUUGGUCUUUAAAGAAAAAGUGGUGCCAAUCUAUUAAAAUACUGAUGCAUCUUUAUAAUAGUAAUAGAUAGAAGUAGAGAAUAUUAGUUGAUGUGGUUGAAAUGAAGAAACCUUCACAGAUAUCAGUAGAAGAUAGCUAGCUAACUCUUUCCUAAAAAGGCAUACACUUGUACAUCAACAUUUCUUAAUAAUUACCUCAGGCCUGAAAAUUAUUGAAAUCCUUACUCCUAGGUCAUUAUAUUAGAACAAGAAUGCUUCUUGAAUGCUUAUAAUCUAUAUUUUGAACAAGGAUUAUACAGUGGAUUUGAAAUUUAAAAAAAAAGAGGUCACAGAGUAUUAUAUAGAAUAUGAUCCCAAUUACACAUGUGUUUGUGUAUAUGUGUAUAAAUGUACAUAUAAAUAAAAAUGUUUAAAGUUAUAUGCCCAGAUGUAAACAGUGAUUAUCUCAAAGGUGGCUUUUUUCUUUCUUUCUUUCUUUCUGCUUUUCUGUGUAUUUCAAACUUUUUUUUUUAAUGUUUAUUUUAUUUUUGAGAGAGAGAGAGAGAGACAAAGCGUGAGCAGGCGAGGAGUAGAGAGAGAGAUAGAGACACAGAAUCUGAAACAGACUCCAGGCUCUGAGCUGUCAGCACAGAGCCGGAUGCAGGGCUUGAACCCACGGACCACGAGAUCAUGACCUGAGCCAAAGUCAGAUGCCUAACCGACUGAGCCACUAGAUGCCCCUGCAUAUUUCAAACUUUUAAGAAUGAAAAGCUGGUAGGGGCGCCUGGGUGGUUCAGUUGGUUGAGUGUCUGACUUGGGCUCAGGUCAUGAUCUCACGGUUCAUGGGUUUGAGCCCCAUGUUGGGCUCUGGGCUGACAGCUCAGAGCCCGGAGCCUACUUAGGGAUUCUGUGUCUCCCUCUCUCUCUGCCCCUCCCCCAUUCAUGCUCUGUCUCUCUCAGCCUCUCAAAAAUAAAGAAACGUAAUAAAAAAAAAUUGUUUAAAGAAUGAAAAGCCGGUAUUCCUUUUGUUGUCAAAGAAAAGUACAGCAAUUUUUAACAAAGUUCUACUUUUCUGAAGUUCCAUUAUUCUCAUUUGGCAUCACUCUUCCCAGCCUCACUUUCUGAAUGUCUAUAUAUUGUCUAUAUCUUCGUAGUAUCAAUUGUCAAUGUCUGAUAUUUAUCAGAGAUUCACCGUUAUAGGAUUACAAGCUUCCAAUUUUUCUCAAGGUACCUCUCCAUUUAACAAGUAUUUGCUAAAUUAAACUAAAUACAUUUAUCUUUCUGUUAGCCUAGCCUCUGUGACAGAGCUGCAAGGUAGAACUGUGUGUAAUGGGGCUUCAGGAGUAGGAGGGAUAAAUUAAUAUUAUGCCAAAUAUUAAUGCCAAACACUUAAUAAUUUCUUUGCAAAGCAAUAUUACAAAAAUGCAAUGCUGUAUGCCAAGGUGAAAUAGAAAAUGUUCCAGAAAGGAGUGGGAACAUUGGGAAGCCAACUAAACAGAAAAGUGUUGGGGCCCCUCCCCCAGAAAAAAUCUUAAGGGUCUGGGAACUCUUUCUUUUUUUGCUUCUUCCUUCCUUUUUUUUUUUUUUUUAAGCAGUUAUUAUUUUUAGUUACUUAUUUCCUUUUGGGCAACUCUAUAGUGAGAAAAGUUUUUUCUUUCCCCCUAGCUCAAAGUUUAAGUAUCAAACAUGUGAAUGAGCCAGUGCCUUCUCUCAGGGAGAGUGCAGCUCCAGGGAAUGAAGACCAAGGAUCUCUAGCUAUCAUUCUUGGGGGUGGUCCUAGAGAGUUAGAGACUCUGUGCCUAUUGAGAGAGACCGGAAGCCAAACCAGUGUGUGGGUACAAAAGAGACCCAAAGACUAAGAAUGGUCCUUGGUCACCUGUGGUGCUAGGAGUGAGAUCACAGAGAAACAGCAUGCAGCAUCAUUGACUGGCCAAUUAUUGGAUUUAGGGAUUAGCAGCAAAAACAAAACAGAACACAUUGGGGACAACAGCAUACGCACCUGAGGUGGUGACAGAGCUGGGAUCUCUAUUCUCGGGAAAUUAGUUAUUAAAAUGGCCCUUUACGGGGCGCCUGGGUGGCUCACUCGGUUAAGCAUCCGACUUCAGCUCAGGUCAUGAUCUUGUGCUUCAUGGGUUCCAGCCCUUCAUUGGGCUUUGUGCUAACAGCUCAGACCCUGGAGCCUGCUGUGGAUUCUGUAUCUCCCUCUCUCUGCUCCUCUCCCCACUCAUGCUCACACUCUCUCUCUCUGUCUCAAAAGUAAACUUUUUUUAAAAAUAAUAAAAAUAAGUAAAUAAAAUGCCCCUUUACUGGGCACCUGGCUGGCUCAGUCAGUGGAACAUGUGACUCUUGAUCUCAGGGUUAUGAGUUCGAGCCCCACAAUGGAUGUAGUGAUUACUUAAAAAUAAAAUCUUUAAAAUAAAAUAAAAUGCCCCUCUGCAUAAGAAAUUACCAAAAAAAAAAAAAAAAAAGACACAAUACAGGUUUAGGGGAGGACAAGAGUAGGGGGAGUUACAUGUGUACAUAACACAGGGCUGUGUUAUCAUCCACAACCCCACCACAGAGAGUUGGGGUACAGCCACCAGUGGCAGACAACUUUCAUCAAAAAGUAGACAGCUGUAACUUUGAGUCUCCAAUGUGCUAGCCAGGGUAAGAGCCGCUACUUCCAUUAAGGGAACAUAAAACUGAAAGCUGCAAAUGACACUUUUUCUAUUCUGUGCUUUGCUUUCCAGCAAGUCACGUGUUUAUCAGACUUCUCUUUAUUUAAAACUGGGUAAUACUUUUUUCUCACCUUGCAGGUGCCUCCUGAAAUACAGUCAACACAAUGCUGUGCUUUGGCUACUUGUGUUUUUUAAGAAUAAACCAAAAUCAGCAUUUUUAAUCAACCACAUUGGACCAGAUUGGGAGAGAAAGACUAAUGUGUUCCAAUUGCCUCGUUCCUCUUUAUGACCAAGCAGGAAGUUUCAGAGCAAACCUCCACCUCUCAGGAAGUUUACGUCAAAAUGAGUAUUGACAUCCUGUUUAAUAGAGUCUUAAAUUUUUUCCUCACUUCCAGACACUCACCAUUUGAAUUAAAAUGUUUGAGUAAUCUGUCCUGAAAUUAUGUUUCCUUUGACUCUCAGAAGACUAUGUCUAAGUGACAAAUGGAAUAUCUCUAUGACUAAUAAUGAUAAAAGUUAAAGUUU